CAGUAGCCGCGGUAAGACAGAGGAUGCAAGCGUUAUCCGGAAUGAUUGGGCGUAAAGCGUCUGUAGGUGGCUUUUCAAGUCCGCCGUCAAAUCCCAGGGCUCAACCCUGGACAGGCGGUGGAAACUACCAAGCUGGAGUACGGUAGGGGCAGAGGGAAUUUCCGGUGGAGCGGUGAAAUGCGUAGAGAUCGGAAGGAACAUCUGUGGCGAAGGCGACUAUCUGGGCCAACACUGACACUGAGGCACGAAAGCGUGGGGAGCAAACAGGAUUAGAUACCCCGGUAGUCCCUGUCUCUUAUAC
This 301-nucleotide ribosomal RNA is filed under the name uncultured bacterium. RNAcentral describes it as "partial 16S ribosomal RNA". It matches the Rfam family "Bacterial small subunit ribosomal RNA", at positions 509 to 807 of the family's 1533-position model. The record is from RNAcentral.